Long non-coding RNA from Gorilla gorilla gorilla (western lowland gorilla), 2382 nucleotides. RefSeq lists it as uncharacterized. The record is from RefSeq and is a predicted model, not a curated record. The transcript has 7 exons. Lineage: Eukaryota; Metazoa; Chordata; Mammalia; Primates; Hominidae.
GGGGGGGGGGGGUGCUAAACAGACACUGUACAGAGGGAAAAGAGACAUAAUUUAGCUGUGUUGCUAGUAUGAUUCCAUUUUUAAAGGAGGGGAGGGGGAGAGCCUAGAGCUCUAACUGUUUUUAGUUGCAUAUGGAAAUAUCUAAAAAAUAUUUAGCAUUUUUACUAAGUGCGUUGAGGCCUCUCCAGUGUCCUCCUGGCUGUGGCUGCUUUGUCAUUCUCUUUGACUAGCCAGCCAUCUACCUUGCUCAGGCCUGGAAUAAAAGAAGAACAAGAAGAAGAAAGAAAUGAAAUGAAAAACAGAAAGAAAAAGGAGAAGAAACAUUUGAAAAAGGGUCAUCUUCCCAACUGCCUCCCCUCCUUUUCCUUUCAUUUUUGGUGGCGGCACAGGAAAGCCCCACUUCCAGUCUGAUGAGGAAAGCGACAAUCUAUCAGGUACAGAACCAGGGGCUGUCUGCGAAGAUGGAGGGGAAUUAUGCUUCGGAUUCCUCUGAAAUAUUGGCCAAAGGCUUCAAAGAAUCCGCAGCGGGAGGUGCGGGGGGAAUGUCUCUCCCCAGCCCGCACCCAGCCCUUCCCACUUCGUGUCUACCAAAUGACAGCCUGGUGCUCGCUCUUGGUGAUUUGGCCUUGACUUCAGCCAAGCAGCUGAUGCAGACGAAGGCUCCGUUUGCAGGACUGGCAAAGUGCACGCUAAAGAAAGAAGGAAGAAAUUUUUCAAAAAGCAGCUCUGGGGAGGUUUCAUACUCCCCCCCCCCCUUUUUUUAAUUUUUAAGUGAAUAUUUUCCAAAUUUGAUCAGUUCCAGCCCCUCCCUCCACUCCCACCCAACUGCCCUUUUUUCUCUCGUCAAAGCAUAAGCUACAGAGUUACAGUCUCGAGAUUUGGUGUAUCGCUUCCUGCCCCCGCCUCCCCUCCCCGCCCCCGUUCUCCGUCCUCUAUUGAAACACCUCGCCCAGCCUAGAGCACUGAGAGCUCUCAUUUCCCCCCCUUGCUCGGGAUGGUGCCACAGGAGGCUGUGCGGGCCCCGCUCCGCUUCGAAUGGAUACAGUUAAGCUAAUGAUCUCGAGAGGAUAUCGUCCUGGAUAAGGGUGGAGCCUACGCCCAAAAACAAGAUUACCUGAAAGAGAAAAGAAAGGGGGAAAACACACAGAGAUACAGUCAUGGAGGCCACAUGAAGAUGGAGGCAGAGACAGGAGUGAUGAGCCUGCAAGCCAAGGAAUGCCAAGGGCUGCCAGCAGCCGUGAGAAGCUGAGAGACACAGAGAACGAGUCCUCUGCCAGAGCCUCCAGAAGGAACUAACCCUGUCAAUACCUUGAUUUCGGACUUCUGGACUCCAGAACUAUAACCCUCCUUCCUCCACCUCACAAAAACUCACAAGCUGCAACCCUUCUGAUGUCCACUCCCACACAAACCAGCUUCAGGCCUUUUUCAAGUUCUGGAGGUCAGAAUUCUGACAUGGAUCUCACUGGGCUGAAAUCAAGCUGUUGGCAUGGCUGCAUUCCUUCUGGAAACUCUAGUGAGAAAUUCAUUUUCUUGCCUUUUUCAGCGUCUAGAGGCCACACCUUGUUCAGAAUUAAUAGAUCACCUCUGAUGUAGAUGGGAUGGAAUUCCAAGUGUUGGGAAUACUUCUAGCAGCUAAAGUUAAGAGCGUACCAGAUGUGUUCAGAGAACCUCGAGUUGAUCUGAAAAGAGAAUCUGCUCAAGGAGAAAACAAUUGGAUGCUGUGGGGCACCACCUCCUUGAGGACCAAGGCACUCCAGCUGCCAGGAAUUUGGCUGCUAACCUCACACAGCUGAGCCUUCCAUGAAAAUUGCUCUCUGCCAAAGAGAACUUCCUAGUCCAAGGUCAUGUCUACUCUCCAGAGAUGUGACUGGAGUGAUUUGCACCCAGAUGCCUAGACUCGCCAUCUGCUCAAAGACUGCUCAGAAAGCCCUCCCAUGCAUUCCCCCGCUGCAUACCAGCCCACUCUGCCUGCAGCUGCUGUCUGCAGGACUUCAUAUCUAUGCCACACUGUGUAAAAGCUGUGCUUCAAGGAAUCACAAAAACAUUUUCCUGCACCUACUACACAGCCUGAGUGCGGCAUAAGUUGACCUUGCUUGCUAAGAAAUGGGGCAAGAAAUGCUUUUUUGUGUGUGUCAUGUCUGUUUGUUUUUCAAUUAAGAGAGGAAAGCAUUAGGCAGAUGGAAUGUACAUGUGAGGAUGAGGAGACAGAAAACAAGUAGCCCUUUCCAUCAAGAUAGAGGGUUUUCUGGGGUUGCUGGCUCUUGAAUGUCACUCCUGAUUUCUCUUUCCAAGGCACUGUACCACCAGCCUACUGAGAUUGUGUGGGAGCUUUCAUGGGGGUUGUAUUUCACUGAUGAAAAUAAAUUUUGUGCAUAAUGUGAA